CUAGAAAAGGUAAACAUUUGUUAAAGUCCUUAAGAGGAGACUUAACUUAUUUGCUACAACUGCAAUAAAAUAGUAGUUUGUGUCAACAUAAAAUCCUUCUUGUAUCUAUCAUAUGAUGUCAUGUGGAACUGCCAACACACAGUUUUUGAUGCACCUGAUGAUGAUGACAGCUAAGGAAGAUUCAAUUGACUGGUGUGAUUGAUAGAUUCAAAUGGCUAAUGACCAAGGAGAAGUGUUGCUGACUAGCUGGCUGAAAAGGGACGGGGAAGAACUUGGAUAUCGAAUUUGAACCAGAUCUCGAAGGAUUCUGAAUGAAAAUGCAAUACAAUGCGACAGCAGAGUCAAUAACUCCAGGCACUGAAACCAGCAAUGUCGUAUACAUACAGAAGGGAAUGGUCACUGCUUAUGUAGAGGAACAACAGCCUGACUAAUUCAUGCAGGAGGUGAAACUGGGGCCCAGGAGGAGACCCCGAGAUUACAAAUAGAAAAUGUGGCCAUUUACCUCACCGUUUACCUGAAGAAAACUUGAAGCGUGAAAGACCUACUUUUGCAUCUUUUAGGAUCUAAGUGGAAUUGGCAUGUUUUAGGAAGUGAGUUCUAUUUCCUAUAUUUCAUUUCAAGGAUUCAUCGUCUUCAAGAGCCAACAAAGGGAUGUAUUUUCCUUAACAUUUUCAUGUAAGAUGAUCCAUAAAGACUCUUUAAAAGUUCAUAUGCUCACCUCGU
Long non-coding RNA from Herpailurus yagouaroundi (jaguarundi), 723 nucleotides. RefSeq lists it as uncharacterized. The record is from RefSeq and is a predicted model, not a curated record. Lineage: Eukaryota; Metazoa; Chordata; Mammalia; Carnivora; Felidae. The transcript has 3 exons.